This is a non-coding RNA of Tauraco erythrolophus (red-crested turaco), 1178 nucleotides long. NCBI's taxonomy places the organism in Eukaryota, Metazoa, Chordata, Aves, Musophagiformes, Musophagidae. The record is from RefSeq and is a predicted model, not a curated record.
AUGUAGCUUGCAUCGUCUAGUCUACUGAAGAUUGGCCAGGAGACGGACAAAACUACUACAAGGAACAGAGAAUCUGUGUACCUGCUACUCGACAUGAUUGUGCAGGAGUCUCCGUUCCUGACCAUGGAUCUCUUGGAGUCUUGUUUCCCUUACGUCCUGCUGAGAAACGCGUACCAUGCUGUCUACAAACAAAGCGUCACAUCCUCCGCCUGAGUAGCUACUUACUGGAGAUAAGACAUCUCCUUACUGGAGAUAAGACAUAGCACGCGUCUGUGUGGCCUCAGUUUUAUCUGUAAACUGUGGAGCUCUUUUACUUUAUGGCCUGAUGAACAGUUUUGUGGAUUAUAAACUUUUUCCAUAAAGUUGUAUUUCUGAUCAGUGGUUUCUUAAUAUGGUUGUACUACAAUAUAAGCUUGGUUGAUUUUAGGUUGCACAUUCAUGGAAAAUCUUUUUUUCUCAUUUCUUCCUUUUUUUUUUUUUACUUUAGAGCAUCAGUUAUGUUUAAAAAAUACUACUUCUGCUAUAUGUUUUUUGAUAUUGAUCAUGCAAAACAAAAAUUGCUUGUUUAUUUCCCAGAGGAAAAAUGUAUUUAGUGAUUAUUUUAGAUAGUGUAGCUUUCAUCUGUGUGUAAAUUAUUUCCUAUAGGGAGAGUUAUAAUCUUGUACCUAUUGUUCUUAUUGAAAACAAAUAUUGGAUGUGCAUUUCUGUGAAGUAAUUACAGCAUUACUAGUUUUAUUUUGAAACAUUCACCGACCUGCGUACUAUGACACUAUCUAACAUUAAAAAUGUUAUAGGACUGCUUAUCCUUCAGACAGCGAUCUUCUCCCGAUACUCUUCAACAACAGCAAGUGGUGUUGUUUGUAUAAAGCAUAGUGGAAAUUUUUUUUAAACUAACUUCUGUGGUGCCCUGUUGGCAUUAACACUACCAUUGUACCCUGCUGUAUAAUAAACAUUCUUACACAUUUAUCACAUGUUGAUAAAAUGUUAGCCCUUAACCACUUUUUAUAUGUUUUAAAUUUUUGAAAUUCAAGUGUACCUUCCAUAACAUACAAUAAACACUAGACUGUAUUAUCUGUAGGUGAAUUAUUUUUAAUAUAAAUGUUAUCCUAGUAUUUUAAGCUUAAACUGUGCUGUUGUGCAUUGAUUUACAUCUCACAGUUCAUUAAAUAUCAAUCCUU